GACGAACGUUGGCGGCGUGCCUAAUACAUGCAAGUCAACUGAAACACCGGUAGCAAUACUGGUGUGGAGGUGGCGCACGGGUGAGUAACACGUAGGUAAUCUGCCUUCAGGUCUGGCAUAACCCCGGGAACCGGGGACGUAAUAGCAGAUGAUGCAGCGGCUUGACAUCAAGACAGUUGUUAAAGACUAACCGAGCAAUCGGUGGCGCCUGAAGAUGAGCCUGCGUCUGAUUAGCUAGUUGGCGGAGUAACAGCCCACCAAGGCUUCGAUCAGUAGCUGGUCUGAGAGGAUGAUCAGCCACACUGGAACUGAGACACGGUCCAGACUCCUACGGGAGGCAGC
Molecule: ribosomal RNA, 342 nt
Filed under: uncultured bacterium
Lineage: Bacteria
Description: bacterial SSU rRNA
Rfam family: Bacterial small subunit ribosomal RNA
Source: RNAcentral